UUAUUUUAUUUUCUUUAGACUCAGACUGCAAAGAACUGUAAGAGUUGGAUACUUCGGCAAGCACACGCUCGCGUUCGCCAACGGCUAGUUGAAACUAGACGUCUCGCCGAAGAAGACUUGAAUAGGUACACAAAGGGUGGGAGGCGACUGUUAGAAACAGUCAACACUCGGUAAUGAUCCUUCCGCAGGUUCACCUACGGAAA
This 203-nucleotide unclassified non-coding RNA is filed under the name uncultured fungus. RNAcentral's name for it is "sequence contains ITS1". Lineage: Eukaryota; Fungi. The record is from RNAcentral.